Molecule: long non-coding RNA, 351 nt
Organism: Prunus dulcis (almond)
Lineage: Eukaryota; Viridiplantae; Streptophyta; Magnoliopsida; Rosales; Rosaceae
Exons: 4
Source: RefSeq, a predicted model, not a curated record
GGUUACUGAUUUGCAUGCACAGACACCUCAGCCCCGUUUUGAUCCAACAAAACCCGUGGCCAUGGACGAUGUGAAGGCUAUCAUACAACUUUGCAGGGCUUGGAAAACUGACAUCAGUGCGGAGCUGGAGCUCGAACCAUUUGAAGUUGGGGCAGAUUUUUUUUUACAAACUGUUAGAUGAAACUGCAUGGAUGAGCUCGAGGCACCUUGACAUGGCCAUGUUUCUAAUACGCAAAAGACAACUCUCUCAUCCGCAACUAUUUGGAAGGGAGUGGACAACCGCCGAGUUUUGUCUGCAGCAAUUUUUACAGCCGUUUGCAAUGCCAAGUGGGAAACGAGUCACGAGGAAAC